AAUUAGAGGAAGUAAAAGUCGUAACAAGGUCUCCGUUGGUGAACCAGCGGAGGGAUCAUUACCGAGUUUACAACUCCCAAACCCCUGUGAACAUACCUUAAUGUUGCCUCGGCGGAUCAGCCCGCGCCCCGUAAAACGGGACGGCCCGCCAGAGGACCCAAACUCUAAUGUUUCUUAUUGUAACUUCUGAGUAAAACAAACAAAUAAAUCAAAACUUUCAACAACGGAUCUCUUGGUUCUGGCAUCGAUGAAGAACGCAGCAAAAUGCGAUAAGUAAUGUGAAUUGCAGAAUUCAGUGAAUCAUCGAAUCUUUGAACGCACAUUGCGCCCGCUGGUAUUCCGGCGGGCAUGCCUGUUCGAGCGUCAUUUCAACCCUCAAGCCCCCGGGUUUGGUGUUGGGGAUCGGCUCUGCCUUCUGGCGGUGCCGCCCCCGAAAUACAUUGGCGGUCUCGCUGCAGCCUCCAUUGCGUAGUAGCUAACACCUCGCAACUGGAACGCGGCGCGGCCAUGCCGUAAAACCCCAACUUCUGAAUGUUGACCUCGGAUCAGGUAGAAUCCCGCUUUUAU
This 567-nucleotide ribosomal RNA is filed under the name Fusarium avenaceum. RNAcentral describes it as "eukaryotic LSU rRNA". The stretch from base 213 to 366 matches the Rfam family "5.8S ribosomal RNA". The record is from RNAcentral. Lineage: Eukaryota; Fungi; Ascomycota; Sordariomycetes; Hypocreales; Nectriaceae.